This 200-nucleotide long non-coding RNA is filed under the name Capsicum annuum. Its description in RNAcentral is "long non-coding RNA (CANN_LNC018171)". The record is from RNAcentral. Lineage: Eukaryota; Viridiplantae; Streptophyta; Magnoliopsida; Solanales; Solanaceae.
UAUCUCUAUUUAGCAUUGCCCCUUUGCAUUUUAACACCAAAUUAUUCGAGAGAUCGGAUACAAACUUUCUCAUACGGGCUCUCAUGUUACCUGCCAGUUUUGGGGUAUAACGAUAUAACUGGUUGAACUUCAAUGUGUACUUCUCCAUGCUCAUUUUUCCUUAUUUAAAGUUCAUAAAUUAUUUAUCCUUUGAUUCCCUC